This 17-nucleotide transfer RNA is filed under the name Heuchera parvifolia var. utahensis. Its description in RNAcentral is "partial tRNA-Phe". The record is from RNAcentral. Lineage: Eukaryota; Viridiplantae; Streptophyta; Magnoliopsida; Saxifragales; Saxifragaceae. RNAcentral also lists the same sequence under 1 other name.
AUGGUCGGGAAGGUCGG